Molecule: ribosomal RNA, 467 nt
Filed under: uncultured bacterium
Lineage: Bacteria
Description: partial 16S ribosomal RNA
Rfam family: Bacterial small subunit ribosomal RNA
Source: RNAcentral
GAUGAACGCUGGCGGCGCGCCUAACACAUGCAAGUCGAACGAUUAAAGCACCUUCGGGUGUGUAUAAAGUGGCGAACGGCUGAGUAACACGUGGGCAACCUGCCCCUCUCAUUGGGAUAGCCACGGGAAACCGUGGAUAAUACCGAAUACUUCGGGACUUCCGCAUGGAAGACUCGAGAAAGCUCCGGCGGAGAGGGAUGGGCCCGCGGCCUGUUAGCUUGUUGGUGGGGUAAUGGCCUACCAAGGCAAUGAUGGGUAGCUGGGUUGAGAGACCGACCAGCCAGAUUGGGACUGAGACACGGCCCAGACUCCUACGGGAGGCAGCAGUGGGGAAUCUUGCACAAUGGGCGAAAGCCUGAUGCAGCGACGCCGCGUGCGGGAUGAAGGCCUUCGGGUUGUAAACCGCUUUCAGCAGGGACGAGGCGAAAGUGACGGUACCUGCAGAAGAAGCCCGGGCUAACUACGUG